This is a non-coding RNA of Taeniopygia guttata (zebra finch), 9240 nucleotides long. NCBI's taxonomy places the organism in Eukaryota, Metazoa, Chordata, Aves, Passeriformes, Estrildidae. The record is from RefSeq and is a predicted model, not a curated record.
CCUGUGCCAGGUACAGGACUGCUGUGGAGCAGUGCAGAGGAGCAGGAGCUGCAUCACAGCUCAGUCCUGGGAGCUGCCUCUGGGGCAACACCAGUGCCUGUGCUUGGAGUAAGGCCAUGGCUGAUUACUAAGUAAGCUGGUGGUGCUCGCUGUAGUUUUUAGGAUAUUCCAUGUGAUCUACCCCCAUUGGCCUGGAUGAAAAUGCAAACCAGGGAACUUGGCUCUUUACAGGUUAAGUAGCUGGAACUCCUUGGUAUUGGCUGCAGUGAAAAACUGCUGGCUGUGGAUGUAGAAACGACUACUACUAGGGUAUUGAAAUUAUACUAGUUAAUGAAAGUAGAAAGUAAUUUCAUUUGCAUUCUCAGAACUUUGUUGAAGAGUUCUUUAAGAAGUGCAGCAGGGGGGAUUAAAGAAAAAAAUGCGGGAAGGACAGAGGAAUUUUAAUGUUUUUCUAUCCUGAGUUUUUAUAGGAAUGGUGCUAUUAAUGGCUUAGUGAAUGCUUGUUUGUCUCCAUGUGAAGGAAGAUGGAUGUGUGAAGAGUCACCCAAGUUCCAGGGAGAAAUUGAGCAAGACAGAUUAGUCCCACCUCAGCCUGACACCUGGGGCACAUCUUUAUCUAGGGGGGUAAAUGGAUCAGAAUGUUACCGCCCGUUUAUUUAUUCUCCUUCUGUUUGGAGACUUUCCCUGAUUAAUUACUCUCUAGUAAUUGCUGCUGUUAACUAAUGUCAAAUCUAAUUAACCUGGAGUCCCUUCAUCCAGUACCUUCAGCACCCCUUUGCAAAGACGAGAAGGUCAUCAGCAAGGAGGUUCUGAGGAUGGCCACACUUUACCCAUUCGUUUAUUUGCUUUGGGCCUUGUUUGCUAUUCCUGCUGCAAUGCCUGGCGACAGCUUUCUAGAAUUCCCAUCAAGUCUAAUUGGCCUGCUGAAGCAGCAGUGAACACAAGAUUUAAGAAAUGUUUUCUUUAAAAACUUCUGGUCCUACAGACACUUUGAGAUCAAGUUUCACUCUGCUGAAAUCACACACGAUUCCCUGUGAUUUUCAUGAGAAAUACUGCAAGAAAGUAUUAAAAGAGAAACAUGUCUCUGUGGUUUGGAGGGACUGAUGGCCAGGGGGGUUGAAGAGUGGGUGGUGGUAACAUAGCAAGGCAUCUACAGAAUCUUUAAAGGUUGCCAAAAUUAACACAUACAAGGUAUUCAGUAUCAAAGUUUUCAAUAUUUGGCUCCAUAAACACAAUACCGGUUGCAAAAACAAAGCUAAGGAUUUCAUGCUGAUUACUUAAAUAAAAAUUGUUUAAUUAUGAACAUUUGGGAAAUGAAGUUAUGAAGGACUGACCAAUAUUGCUAUGGCUUCCUAGUGUUCAUAGCAUACUGUGAACACUGUGCCAGCAUCUCACUGUGUAAAGCAUUGUAGAUCCAUCUAUGGUAAACAGUUCUAAGGCUCAGUGUGCCUCGGGCAGAUGGCUCCAUGCAGAAGGAGGUCUCCCAUCAUUAAAGCCUAUGGCUUUUAGCUCCACUAAAGAGUGGGCUUUCCAGUCCAAAAAAAGCUACCAGCAUUGUCUGUGGAGAGCCUGAUCAGGGAUGUCAAGAUUUUUUUUUCUGCUUUUAGGUAUUUUCAUAGAUCAGCACUAGAAGAUUUAUUUCAGAAAAUGAAUAGGAAUAAUUCAAGAUGUGUUACUAUUCCAGAAAUACUGGGUAACACUUCAGAUUCAUGGCAAAGAUCUGUUUUUUUUUUUCUUUAUGGUUUUCUAAGAUUAAUACUGAAAUACGCAUCUCUUGGAAAUUUUGGUCCUGGAUUACUCUUGUCUGUGUCUGACUUUUCAACCUCUCCUGUCCAUCCCUCUGACUGGCUGCAAACCAUUUUUCUGACUCGAUUGCUUUAUCUCACCAAUUACAACUCUCAUAGAUACAACUUCCAGUUGAAGUUUUGGCAACAUAAAUGAGAGGUACAUGAUAUUAGAGUAACAAGUUCUGUGUUCUCAAAAACACAGUCUGAGGUCACAUGAUUUACACUAGAGUGGCAGUGGAGCAUAUGUCCAGUCAGUCAGCACUUACAACUGGUGAGCUCUUGGUAUGACUACCAUUACCACCUAUUAAGGCUUUUCACCCAUAAGUUGGAUAGUGGAAAAUCACAUAAAGCUAAUACAUUGAAUGCUCUGUCCUGCCCUGUUGUGUGAGAAAAAGAAUUGUUUAUUAAGUAAAUUCUGCACUUUAGAAUCUAGCAUUACAAGGUAAACUACCUUUAAUUUUAAUUUGCUGUAAAAAAUUUAAAUUGCAGCAGUUCAGUUGUUGUUUCACAAAAAUUUUGGUAUUUUUACUGAGAAGAAAAGAAAGGUAAGGGUAACAGGUAUCUAGAGUUUGAAGACUUUUAAAGCAUCGUGUAUAAGUCAUUCCCAACUAGAAAUCCAAGAUGUAACAUUAAUCUUCCAAUUAAAUGAGUCUACUGUAAUUACUUUCUGGGUUGAAGGCAGGUAUGUUUUAUCACAAUACUCCUUGUGCUUCCCGUGCUGUCACCUUAUUUACAUCUUUGAACUAUGCUCCUUUUCUUCCCUGCAACUCUUCUGUUAUGAAAAUUCUAAACCAUAUCACUCUUAAUGGCCACACCUCACUACUGAAUUAAACCAUUACACAUAGUGUUUUCAGGACACAAAUUUAUACACAACUCAUAUUUGAUUGCUAGUGCGGUGCCUGAUGUAUUUGCCUGGAUGAUUUAAUAUUUUCCCUAAAUGAUCACUAGGCAUACUCUUUGGGUUUGAAAAUAUCAGGCCCUAGUUCCACUAUCUGGUUUGGGCACAUCCAUCCCACUUAAAAAGCUAGGAGUCCUCAGAAAUACACAAGUAAUUUAUUCCCAUCAUACUGAAGUUCUUUUCUAGAGAUUGGCUUGGAUAGGUCACUUUGUACUCCUUUCUUCUCAGAAGUCCAUUAGGAGUCAUUCAGAAUUAGAUAAUGUUAUUCAAUGUUAAUUUUUAAAUAGCUAACAUUAGGAUUGUGUUCUGCUUUAAUUUCCUACAAAGGCAAAGCCAGAGGAAGAUACAAAACUGAAGAAAAACAUAUUCCUAGCAUUUCUAAGGGAAACACAUCACCACCAGCAGCAGAACACUAAACCUUCUUGGUGUAAGGACUGGAAUUCCUAGAUUUCCUGUGAACAAUAAGGAAGACGAAAUUUCUCCCACCAUCUAAAGCAAGAAAGGAACACUUGUUGCAGCUUUACAUAAAUGAGUAUAUUUGACCUAAAAGAUGCUGUUAUUAUUAAUUUUAGCUAUUCAUAUAAAAUAUUGUUAGAUUGUUAACAAAAAUAUAUGUGCAAUUAUCUGGUUUUCAUUUAUGUGAUACUAAAGCCUUAAGAAUAUUUGCCACCUUGAAGAAAGACAGUCUUUUGUCCUAUAAUUCUCUUACCUUUCCCGUGCAAUUACUAAUAUGAACAGUUGGAAAAUGGCAGAAUUCCUUCAAUUAUGAUGUCCACAGUGUCAAUGAUGUCAAAGUGAAUAAAUUUGAAGAAAAAACUUAUUCCCCUCCCUUGUCCUUUCCCCUUCCUUCCCCUCCCAUCCCAACAGUACAGAACAAAUCAUAAUAGAAAAGGAAAUAUGGCAGGAGGUGUAGCCAGAUAACAUCUGGCUGAGAAGCUCAACUUCUGGAGCUCUGAAACUGCUUCUAUAAUGGCAAGUUAAAGAUUACCUGGAAACAUUCCCAGACACUGAAACUCUGCACUGUAAAAUUGUUAGCACAGACCCUGGAAUGGCUUUGACCCUCUCCCGCUAACCCCUUCCCAAGCAUUCCUAGAUAAUGUGCAGGAGUCAAAAUUGCUGGAGGAUCAUUGCCAGGAGGCAGUUUGGGUGGAGUUACAAUUUAAGCUAAAAAACCUUAAUUUCAUAGAUGUGGGCAAACUGUGCCACUUGGCCAGCCCAGGGGUCUUGGCACUGUUCAGUUUCCUGGUACAGAUUUUACCUGAAACUUCCAAGAUCUGUCCACAUCUACAGCUGGGUCUGGCACAGAUUAGAUUCUGUUUUUCUGGAAAUAUUUCUAGGUGGUCUAUUGCAAGUGCUCAUGAGAUUGCUAUUCUGAAAAUAUUUUGAUAUAUAUUUACAAUUUAUGUUAUAUCUGAGUGUUUCACAGAUACUUUUAACUUACCUGACUACACAAGAUGUAUAAACAGACCAGGAUUAUGAACAUAUUCUGGAAUAAAAAGACAUUUUCAAGGCCACCUUCCCCCUCACACACUCAGAAACACCCAACCCCCUUCUACCAAUGAUAUUUUAAAUUCUCAAAAUAUAGCAAUGUCAAUGCCCAAAUCCUUUGCAGUCAUACUGAGUCUAUAAUUUAAGAGGCCAAAAAAAUUUUAAGGAAAAAUAAUGGUAAAGAGCAUUUUCCAACUCUAUUUUACCUCUUCCAUAACACUGUGCAAAUGGGAUGGCUUAUUACUCUAAUUCCCUCAUAAAGAUACUUCUUGCCAGAGAUACAGUAUCUCUGAAAACAUGACUUAGCUACAGAUAUCAGUACUACAUGCUCAGAUUUUAUACUGAUGUCUCUCGGAACAGAAAUCUUCCCUUAUUAGUUGUUCUUAUACUUUUAACCAGUAUUGUUAAUACAAAAAGUGACAACAGUCAGAUACAGUUAUACAUAUAGGUAUGCAUUUGUUUGUUUCCUCUCCAGCUGCAGUUAUACUAACAAACUCUUUCUUUUUCUUUUGGAUCUUAAUCUAACAAGAAAAAAAAUAGUUAAGAUGUUAAAAAACCUCUUUACUGCAAAAGGCUUUCUGGUAUUUUUACACCAGUUGAUCUAUACCAAAAAAUCUCUUUAAAUAUAGACAAGUGCUAAUGUUCAUACAUGCUCAACAAAAAGAAAAACUUCUUGUUAAAGGUCUUCAGCAUUCAAAAUAUGUGUGAGGGAAAUUUUCAGGGUAGUUUAACAUGAAAAAUUCUGAACAAUGCCUUUCACUGUAAUGAAGAUAGAGUAUAGGCAAAGCCUUUUAAGAGUCAUUGUAUUUUCCAGGUGCCUUCAGCAGUUGCCUUUAUGCAAAGCAAGUAACAGGGGGGUUAUCCAUUGUAUACAAAAGUACUUUUUUUUUUUCCCUCUAGAAGUUGCAUGUAUUUCUGUUUCACAUGACAGAUUCAUCUCUGUGUCUUCUGGCACCUUAGAUCUUCACAAGAUCUUUCAUCACCAAAGAGAAAAACAUGUUAAUACCAGUGGGUUUGCUAUAGGAUUUCUACCUUUGGAUAGUAAAGCUCAACCAAUUGCACCAAUUUAGCUGCUCUAUUUAGAAAUACCACAACAUGAUAUUGGAAAUACUGUAUAAAAAUGGCAAGUUUUUGUCACUCUUAAGAUGUAAUUGAUGUGCUUAGGAUAACUGCAACCUAAAAACUAGCUUCUAAUCUAUGAGACAGGCCUUUCCAGUGACAUGCAAAUAUAUUCCAGAGGAAAGUAGUUUUAUGAAAGAGCAAAAAGCAGACAGGAGGAGGAGAAGUAAGGCAAUGGAUAGAUUUAUAACUGAGAUUCAGCUGCAAAAAUCUUGGGAACUUGCAGCCUAGUACAAUUGUGGCUUGCAUCCUUGGGUGCUUCUUUGACUUGUGUCAGAUAUGAAGUCAAGGAAAACUGUGGAUACUCACUGAAUGUUUAAAUCUUGUACAUUGUUGUUCUUUCUUUCUCUUUCAAGCAUCAAACCUAACAAAAAAUCUUGCUAUACACAUAUAAAAAACUCCACCCCUACCAAACUUCCACUUUUCAUGCUGUCCAAGGAGCUGAAUGAAAUUCCUUUAUAAAAUUUUUUAAUUUUGAUCCAUAUAAGUGACUUAAUUUGGGGUAAGAAUUAAUUCACUGGUCAAAAUUUCUGAGGGUAUUGCUUGCAAAAACGGGCACUUUAUUUUAAUAAAACUUACUGAAUUCUGUUGAGCUGAUUAAUAACACUAAUAUAUCCAGAAAGUCUGAAACAAAAAGCAGCAGUCAUAUUGAAAGUAGAAGAAAUUACUUAUCAAUUAUGACUAGUUUGUGAUCAGAAACCAUUUAAUUACAGGAACAAUUUGUGCAAGAUUUGAGAAAAAAAAAGACAGUAAGAAUAAAUAUUAAUUAAAUUUGGAAUAAAUAAAUAAAUAAGUAAAUAAAUGAGCAAUCAUAUUUUUAGCUUGAGUUAACCUCCUGUUAGGUAAAGCAGUGUGCUGAGAUAUUACAAAGAGUAUAAAAGCUAUCCUCCAUAUCUGGAGUUGAUAACAUGCUGUGUCUCGCCACACCAUUUAAGCAAUAAUUUCACUCCUAAUUCUGUUUUUAGAGAAUUGUGCCUCAAAACUCAUGUAGCCAAAUCAAGCUAUAAAUGAGCUAUAACUUAAAAACUUUUAAAAAAUUGCAAAUAAAUAUAAUAAAUUCUCCAUCAAUAUCAAUCUUUCCAUCAGAACUGUGUGGCUAUGAGAGAGACUAACCCGAACAGAAGUUACCAAAAGGUAAUGCAGAGUAAAAAUUCCCUGCAGCCUUAAAAAUCCUGAAUAUUUCCAUUACUAAUCAUCCACACGCGCUUCAUCAGUCAAGAGAAGUUCAGCAGUGGAAUGGAGAAACAGAAAUUGUCAACUUUGUUUUGCAUUCACAUGGAUGAAUUUGGUUCUUGAAGGACUGCAGAAAAGUAUAUACAAAGUGGGAUACUUAAACUGUUACAUUUGUUGAUUUCUGUCAACCAAUGUCUUGGAAUGCUCCACAGCUGACAAGGUUAGAGCAGAAUCAAGAAAGUCAGUAACAGUUUACAAUAUUUAUUAAGAAAAUAAGCAAAAAAUUCUUAAAAUAUUUGUCAUCACACAACAGCAUAUGUUAUUAGGUCUUUUGUACUGUGUGACUUGAUCAGAAUUUCCCCCUCUGCUUUAAACUGCUAUUUGCACUUGCUCACAUUUCUUAAGAUGUCACCGAUUUAAAACACAAUUUGGAUAUAUGUGCUUCCAGAAAAUGUAGCCUCAAUUGAAUUAUCUUUCCUUACUUUGUAAUGAAUAUGUGCUUUUACUUUUCUCCAUACCGUAUUUUUUAUAUUUCUUUGAACAGUUUGCAAUAUAUUUAUGAUGUUUCUAGUGCUUCUUUGAUAAGAAAUUUCAUCAGAAUCCUCAAUAUCUCUCAACUGCUGGUCUAAGGACAUGCAAAAAAGAUAUAUUUUAGCAAAACUCCUUGUGCCAUGCAAGACAGAGAAAAAAAUUGAGUUAUUUUUGGUUUCAUUCUUGUCAGGAGUAAUUUUGCCUUUGCUUUCAAAAGUAUUAUUCAUCACUUGAUGUACAGUCUACCCAGUUUGGGGAUGAGAUGCUACAUGCAUUUGUCUGAGCCUGUAAAUUUGACAGGUAAUCCAUUUUUAGGGAAUUUCGAGACAUUUUUUAACACUUCAGCUGUAUGUCCCAGCUGGAAACAAAUAUGCCAAAUCAGUUAUUUCUUAACACAUGGAGACGGAAUUGCUUUUAUUUGUCCUUGACAGAUUUUUUUCAGGGAUGUCUAUUUCUUUGCCUAUCAGUUUAUUAGUAAAAUCUAAGUAUCUUUAUCUAGUGCCUCCAGCCAACUGCAAGUACAGCCUGAGAUACAUAAAUAAAACAUCAUUGUUUUUUUCUAUCACCUCAGCCAACAUCUCCUCUAGCUCAGCUUUCUCCUGCCAACUACAUAAAGUAAAAAAGCAAAAUCCAAAAUGCAACAAGUUCCCAACUGUAUCCUUAGCAUGAACUGGUAUUUUCUAAAUUACUCAGAAGCCAAAGUUAGUUAUCACAGGAUGGCCUCAGAGACAGUUCUCUGAGUUAUACUAUCAUCUGUACAAAGAUAGCUCUGAUGUAUUUUCUUUCUUGGCUCUAAUUUGUGGUAAGGAAAAGUUUCACAGUUAAAUACGCUUGCCAUCUGCACAGGAAAGCAAAUCAGAAAGAAAGCAAAUCAGGUAAAUACAUCUCCUGAAAAGAUCCCUUUAAAUACCUUUGAGGUCACAGUUUCAAAACCCUGACUUCUUUUUGAUAUGUCCAGAAUCCCUCCUCCGAUGGCAUUUCCAAAUGUCCGUGCUGGUUCUCUCUUUCUUACAGAUCUAACAAAGAAAUAAUCUUGGACAUUGACUGGGCUCAAGAGAUGGUUUAAAAUUUAGCAUCCCUUUCCCUAAAAGACACUGUUUGGGGAUUCUUACUACUUCAUCCAUCUUUCUCUUCCCCCCGGGUUGCUGGGAAGGACCAUCCCAUCUUGGCUCUGACCCUCCACUCCUGCUACUGUUGUUGAUACUGCUGCUGACUCUCUGUAGCCAUGAUUGAUGUCUUGCUGACAGGCACAUAAAUCAUGCCUGUUCAUAAUGGCUAAUGUUGGUAUUUGCAUGUAUUAAGCAUGUUUUAGCUCUGAGACACUUAGCACCAUGCGUGCUGCAUUCAUUCGGCUACCUCAGGGCCUUGGAGGGAGAGGAAGGGAGUUUUCCAUUUAUAGAUAGUUUUGUUUGGGCAGUGGGGAGAGCAGAGACCAUUGUUAAAAAUCCAUCCAGAUGAACAGGAAUGAACUUUGCAGCUGCAGCACAAUUCUCUCAGCCUACAAGACCCUACAGGAUAAAUUGUCUGGCUGACAGCAUAUCGGCAGCUGCAAACAACGGUGCAUCUGCAGUAUCACUGGAUUUUGUACCAUGUGCUGGGAUAUGAGUGCAAAAGAAAGAUGUUUCUUAAAUCCUGAGGCUUUUAAUCUUUCACACAGACUUUUGUGGAUACCUGGCCUUUUACAGAUGAUUUUUGAAGAAGGUGCAAUUCCGAUUUCUUAGAUUUUAUCACUAUAAUUUCUUCUCCCGCUGUUGGCCCAAAAAACCCAAGAAACUAUUCUUAUUAUUUCAUAAUAUAAUUAUCAGUCCUAUGUUUCUGUCCUUUCCAAAAGUACUCUGCAGGGAACAAUUUGUCCCAGAAUUUGGCAGCCUGGACAGCCUUCAGUUUUUACUAACCCUCCUGAUGGGAAUGAAGUUUUGGCAGCUGAUGGAAUCACAGAGGUGCUUCCAGAUAACUGAGAUUUUUUUCUAAGGAGCAUGACACUUUUCACAUUAAACAACGACUAAGGAAAAGGAGAGAGUCUUGGUUACAUGAGAUGAAGAAGUGAGAAACCUACAGUGUGAAUGCUUAGACAACAAAGAAAUCAUUGGAGGAAAUCCAAAGUUUAUUUUUUUUAAUGGAGAUAGAGAAAGGGAGUAAGAAAAUGAAGAAAUAUUAUGAAUUUUUCAGUUAAUUUUACCUGUAAAUAUAUGCAUAUUAAAUAUUAUAUGGUUGCUGUGAUUGCAACAUUAAAAUGUGACCCAA